CCUUUGCACUAGUUUCGUAAAUAUUGAAUAAUAUAAACACACAAACAUAUGAUUUAAAGUUUUGUGUAUAAAUUUUCUGUAUGAAUUGAGAACUUGUGCAAAUAUUCAUAGCUUUUUAUAUUAACUUUAUUUAUAAAAUACUUCUGAGAUUAAUUAAACUUCAUUGUUUCGAAGGUCAACUUGCCGUGUUUGCAAAAUACACUUUUGUAUUUUUCUCUUUAUUGUUCGAGACAAGAAUUAUAUAAACAAUCAUAAUGUCGACAAUAAUUGAAGAUGAACAAAUGAAUAAUCAGCGCGUUUUGCCUCGGAUAGUUCUAAUAGCCUGUGGCUCCUUCAGCCCACCGACACCAAUGCACUUUCGCAUGUUCGAUAUUGCACGUGAUUUUUACAAAACACAAGGAACACAUCACGUAAUUGGUGGCAUCGUUUCACCCACACACGAUUCAUAUCAGAAGAAAGGACUCGUGGCUGGUACACAUCGAUUUGCUAUGUUGAAAUUAGCAUUGCAAUCCUCAACAUGGAUCAAACCUUCGGACUGGGAAAUACAACAGUCGGAAUGGUCGCGCACAAUCUCCGUUCUGCAGUACCAUCAAAACCAUAUGAAUAACUACAUUAACUCUCCACUAGAUAGUGACAAGAACGGUACUCUACCUGGUUGGAUGCCUCCAGGUUUGCGUGAGAGGCAGGAUGGUGUGCAAUUGAAAUUGCUGUGUGGAGCUGAUUUAUUAGAAUCAUUUGCAGUGCCGGGAUUAUGGGCAGAUAAGGAUAUUGAAGAUAUUGUUGGCAAUCACGGUUUAGUGGUUAUCUCACGUUAUGGCUCUAAUCCUGAAAAAUUCAUUUUCGAGUCAGAUAUGUUGACUAAAUAUCAGAAACAUAUUACGUUAAUAACGAAUUGGGUACCAAACGAAGUUAGUUCUACAAUAAUACGACGUCUCAUAUCGCGCGAUCAGUCUGUGAAAUACUUGCUUGAUGACAGGGUCAUUGACUAUAUUCAAAUGCAAGGACUAUUUAAUUGUAAAACUCCGACGAACAUAAUGUCAACAAUAAUUGAAGAUGAACAAAUGAAUAAUCAGCGGAUAUUGCCUCGGAUUGUUCUGAUAGCCUGUGGUUCCUUCAGCCCACCGACGCCAAUGCACCUUAGUAUGUUCGAAAUUGCACGCGACUAUUUCAAAACACAAGGAACACAUGAUGUCAUUGGUGGCAUCGUUUCACCCACACACGAUUCGUAUCAGAAGAAAGGACUCGUGGCUGGUACACAUCGAUUUGCUAUGUUGAAAUUAGCAUUGCAAUCCUCAACAUGGAUCAAACCCUCGGAUUGGGAAAUACAACAAUCGGAAUGGUCGCGCACAAUCUCCGUUCUGCAGUACCAUCAAAAUUAUAUGAAUAACUACAUCAACUCACCACUAGAAAAUAACAUGAACGGUACACUACCUGGUUGGAUGCCUCCAGGUUUGCGUGAGAGGCAGGAUGGUGUGCAAUUGAAAUUGCUGUGUGGAGCUGAUUUACUAGAAUCAUUUGCAGUGCCGGGAUUAUGGGCAGAUAAAGAUAUUGAAGAUAUUGUUGGCAAUCAUGGUUUAGUGGUAAUAUCACGCUGUGGCUCUAAUCCUGAAAAAUUCAUUUUCGAGUCAGAUAUGUUGACAAAAUAUCAGAAACAUAUUACGUUAAUAACGAAUUGGGUGCCAAACGAGAUGAGUUCAACAUUAACACGACGUCUCAUAUCGCGCGAUCAGUCUGUGAAAUACUUGCUCGAUGACAGGGUCAUUGACUAUAUUCAAAUGCAAGGACUAUUUAAUUGUAAAACUCCGACGACAAUAAUUGAAGAUGAACAAAUGAAUAAUCAGCGGAUUGUUCUGAUAGCCUGUGGUUCCUUCAGCCCACCGACGCCAAUGCACCUUAGUAUGAUCGAAAUUGCCCGCAAUUAUUUCAAAACACAAGGAACACAUGAGGUCAUUGGUGGCAUAGUGUCGCCCACACAUGAUUCAUAUGAGAAGGAAGGACUCGUUGCUGGUACACAUCGAUUUGCUAUGUUGAAAUUAGCUUUGCAAUCCUCAACAUGGAUCAAACCCUCGGAUUGGGAAAUACAACAAUCGGAAUGGUCGCGCACAAUCUCCGUUCUGCAGUACCAUCAAAAUUAUAUGAAUAACUAUAUCAACUCACUAGAAAGUGAUAUAAACGGUACUCUACCUGGUUGGAUGCCUCCCGGUUUGCGUGAGAGGCAGGAUGGUGUGCAAUUGAAACUGCUGUGUGGAGCUGAUUUACUAGAAUCAUUUGCAGUGCCAGGGCUAUGGGCAGAUAAGGAUAUUGAAGAUAUUGUGUGCAAUCAUGGUUUAGUGGUAAUAUCCCGCUAUGGCUCUAAUCCUGAAAAAUUCAUUUUGGAGUCAGAUAUGUUGAAAAAAUAUCAGAAACAUAUUACGUUAAUAACGAAUUGGGUACCAAACGAAGUAAGUUCUACAAUAAUACGAAGUCUUAUUUCGCGCGAUCAGUCUGUGAAAUACUUGCUCGAUGACAGGGUCAUUGACUAUAUUCAAAUGCAAGGACUAUUUAAUUGUAAAACUAAGUAUAUGAUUGGACUAAACCGUUUAACAACACACCCACAAAAAUAUAACAACUUUUAUUUAAAUCGUGUUAAUACUAAUUCCAGCUCAUCCGUCAAUAAUUCGCCAUCUGACGGCGAAGAUGGGCCAGGAUAAGUUGUGCAGGUGGUGACGUUCAAGAAGGGUACAAAGCGCGCUGGCAGUGGUGUGGAUGAGGCAGUGGGAUGAAGAGAACAUGGGAAAGGCCAUAGCAGCUGUAAGAGAAAAGGGGAAAUGGGAAUACUAUUGGCCUCUAAAACCUUCCAAGUGAAUGGCUAGAAGCGAGAAGCCGGCAGAGGAGCUACUUGCCACAAAAUUAGGCAGGAAAAUAACUAGCCGCAAAAAUUGAAAUCCGAAGCCAUAAAGAAAAAGGCAAAUGCUGUGCUACACAUUGGUGUAGUAUCCGUGAAAAGUAGUCAGUGAAAGUAGACGUAUUUUUUGGGAUACACUUAAAAUAUCGAAAUUCAAAAUGUCGACACAUCAAAAUACCGACAAAAUUUAAAUAUUCAGCUAAAACAAAAAAUACCGACAGAUCGGAACACCGAAAAAUCAAAAUACCGACAAACCAAAAUGCCGACAUGAGAAAAAUAUUUUAUCUUGUCUGCCCUUAUUUCUAUCGAAGCACAGAAAGAGAAUUCUACUGACUAAGGGUUAUGAUCCUGAGCGUGUUUGUGGCCGGAGGCCGCAGGGCCUCGAACGAACAACGCCACCGUUUCUUGAUUUGCCGGUAUUGUGAUUUGUCGGUGUUUAGACUUGUUUUGACUGUCGGGAUUUAAAUUUCGAUAUUUUGAUUGUCGGCAUUACGUUAUAUGUACACCCGUAUUUCUUCUUCUUCUUCUUAAUUGGCGUAGAUACCAGCAGUUGUACACUCUUGUAGAAGAUGGUACCUUCUCUAUUUAGUUCUGCAGCUCGAACUAUUUUCUCCAGAAGCAGGUUGAAGAAGUCGAACGAUAGGCAAUCGCCUUGUCUGAAACCUCGUUUGGUAUCGAACGGCUCGCAGAGGCCCUUCC
This is an RNA transcript of Bactrocera dorsalis (oriental fruit fly), 3583 nucleotides long. It is a transcript of the gene named nicotinamide/nicotinic acid mononucleotide adenylyltransferase 3, with no coding region annotated. The record is from RefSeq and is a predicted model, not a curated record. The transcript has 19 exons. Lineage: Eukaryota; Metazoa; Arthropoda; Insecta; Diptera; Tephritidae.